UGGGGAAUUUUGGACAAUGGGCGAAAGCCUGAUCCAGCAAUGCCGCGUGUGUGAAGAAGGCCUUCGGGUUGUAAAGCACUUUUGUCCGGAAAGAAAUCCUUGGCUCUAAUACAGUCGGGGGAUGACGGUACCGGAAGAAUAAGCACCGGCUAACUACGUGCCAGCAGCCGCGGUAAUACGUAGGGUGCAAGCGUUAAUCGGAAUUACUGGGCGUAAAAGCGUGCGCAGGCGGUUUGCUAAGACCGAUGUGAAAAUCCCCGGGCUCAACCUGGGAACUGCAUUGGUGACUGGCAGGCUAGAGUAUGGCAGAGGGGGGUAGAAUUCCACGUGUAGCAGUGAAAAUGCGUAGAGAUGUGGAGGAAUACCGAUGGCGAAAGGCAGCCCCCUGGGCCAAAUACUGACGCUCAUGCACGAAAAGCGUGGGGAGCAAAACAGGAUUAGAUACCCUGGUAGUCCACGCCCUAAAACGAUGUCAACUAGUUGUUGGGGAUUCAUUUCCUUAGUAAACGUAGCUAAACGCGUGAAGUUGACCGCCUGGGGAGUAACGGUCGCAAAGAUUAAAAACUCAAAAUGAAUUG
Molecule: ribosomal RNA, 578 nt
Filed under: uncultured bacterium
Lineage: Bacteria
Description: partial 16S ribosomal RNA
Rfam family: Bacterial small subunit ribosomal RNA
Source: RNAcentral